This 573-nucleotide ribosomal RNA is filed under the name uncultured Acidobacteriota bacterium. RNAcentral's name for it is "bacterial SSU rRNA". It matches the Rfam family "Bacterial small subunit ribosomal RNA", at positions 8 to 613 of the family's 1533-position model. Lineage: Bacteria; Pseudomonadati; Acidobacteriota. The record is from RNAcentral.
AGAGUUUGAUCCUGGCUCAGAAUCAACGCUGGCGGCGUGCCUAACACAUGCAAGUCGAACGAGAAAGUGGAGCAAUCCAUGAGUAAAGUGGCGACCGGGUGAGUAACACGUGACUAACCUACCCUCGAGUGGGGAAUAACCUCGGGAAACCGAGGCUAAUACCGCAUAACAUCGCAAGAUCAAAGCAGCAAUGCGCUUGAGGAGGGGGUCGCGGCUGAUUAGCUAGUUGGUAGGGUAAUGGCCUACCAAGGCUGAGAUCGGUAGCCGGCCUGAGAGGGCGCACGGCCACACUGGAACUGAAACACGGUCCAGACUCCUACGGGAGGCAGCAGUGGGGAAUUUUGCGCAAUGGGGGAAACCCUGACGCAGCAACGCCGCGUGGAGGAUGAAGUCCCUUGGGACGUAAACUCCCUUCGACCGGGAAGAUACUGACGGUACCGGAAGAAGAAGCACCGGCUAACUCUGUGCCAGCAGCCGCGGUAAUACAGAGGGUGCGAGCGUUGUUCGGAAUUAUUGGGCGUAAAGGGCGCGUAGGCGGCGCGGUAUGUCACCUGUGAAAUCUCCUGGCUCAAC